CCUACGGGAGGCAGCAGUGGGGAAUCUUGCGCAAUGGGCGAAAGCCUGACGCAGCCAUGCCGCGUGAAUGAUGAAGGUCUUAGGAUUGUAAAAUUCUUUCACCGGGGGACGAUAAUGACGGUACCCCGGAGAAGAAGCCCCCGGCUAACUUCGUGCCAGCAGCCGCGGUAAUACGAAGGGGGCUAGCGUUGCUCGGAAUUACUGGGCGUAAAGGGAGCGUAGGCGGAUAGUUUAGUCAGAGGUGAAAGCCCAGGGCUCAACCUUGGAAUUGCCUUUGAUACUGGCUAUCUUGAGUAUGGGAGAGGUUAGCGGAACUCCGAGUGUAGAGGUGAAAUUCGUAGAUAUUCGGAAGAACACCAGUGGCGAAGGCGGCUAACUGGCCCAUUACUGACGCUGAGGCUCGAAAGCGUGGGGAGCAAACAGGAUUAGAUACCCUGGUAGUCCACGCCGUAAACGAUGAGUGCUAGUUGUCGGUCGAUGCAUGCAUGUCGGUGGUACGCGACGCGUACGACGACUAAGUACACUCCGCCGUCGGGAGGUACGGUCGCGAGAGUAAACUACGAAGAAGUAGACGCGNGAGACGUGCCGACGACGACGACGAGGGAGGUAGG
This 611-nucleotide ribosomal RNA is filed under the name uncultured bacterium. Its description in RNAcentral is "bacterial SSU rRNA". The stretch from base 1 to 530 matches the Rfam family "Bacterial small subunit ribosomal RNA", at positions 338 to 873 of the family's 1533-position model. The record is from RNAcentral.